AGAUUGAACGCUGGCGGCAUGCCUUACACAUGCAAGUCGAACGGCAGCACGGGAGCAAUCCUGGUGGCGAGUGGCGAACGGGUGAGUAAUACAUCGGAACGUGCCCAGUAGUGGGGGAUAACCCGGCGAAAGCCGGACUAAUACCGCAUACGACCUACGGGUGAAAGCAGGGGAUCGCAAGACCUUGCGCUAUUGGAGCGGCCGAUGUCAGAUUAGCUUGUUGGCGGGGUAAAAGCCCACCAAGGCGACGAUCUGUAGCUGGUCUGAGAGGACGACCAGCCACACUGGGACUGAGACACGGCCCAGACUCCUACGGGAGGCAGCAGUGGGGAAUCUUGCGCAAUGGGCGAAAGCCUGACGCAGCAACGCCGCGUGGGGGAUGAAGGCCUUCGGGUUGUAAACCCCUUUCAGUGGGAACGAAUUGACGGUACCCACAGAAGAAGCCCCGGCCAACUACGUGCCAGCAGCCGC
RNAcentral lists this ribosomal RNA (471 nucleotides) under uncultured bacterium. RNAcentral's name for it is "SSU rRNA". It matches the Rfam family "Bacterial small subunit ribosomal RNA", at positions 26 to 518 of the family's 1533-position model. The record is from RNAcentral.